This 512-nucleotide ribosomal RNA is filed under the name uncultured bacterium. RNAcentral describes it as "partial 16S ribosomal RNA". It matches the Rfam family "Bacterial small subunit ribosomal RNA", at positions 29 to 523 of the family's 1533-position model. The record is from RNAcentral.
AACGAACGCUGGCGGCGUGCCUAACACAUGCAAGUCGUACGUGAAAGUCUUUCGGGAUGAGUAAAGUGGCGCACGGGUGAGUAACACGUAGGUGACCUGCCUUUUAGAGGGGAAUAACCAGAAGAAAUUUUGGCUAAUGCCGCAUACGAAGCACAGUUUUAAGACUGUGUUUGAAAGAAUGCCUCUGCAUAGGCAGUCACUAAAAGAUGGGCCUGCGUCCGAUUAGCUAGUUGGUGGGGUAAAGGCCUACCAAGGCGACGAUCGGUAGCUGGUCUGAGAGGAUGAUCAGCCACACUGGGACUGAGACACGGCCCAGACUCCUACGGGAGGCAGCAGUGGGGAAUAUUGGACAAUGGGGGGAACCCUGAUCCAGCAAUGCCGCGUGUGCGAAGAAGGCCUGAGGGUUGUAAAGCACUUUUAGUGGGGAGGAGGGUUUAUUGGUUAAGAGCUGAUAGAUUGGACGUUACCCACAGAAACAGCACCGGCUAACUCCGUGCCAGCAGCCGCCGUAA